RNAcentral lists this ribosomal RNA (492 nucleotides) under uncultured bacterium. Its description in RNAcentral is "partial 16S ribosomal RNA". It matches the Rfam family "Bacterial small subunit ribosomal RNA", at positions 29 to 507 of the family's 1533-position model. The record is from RNAcentral.
AGUGAACGCUGGCGGUAGGCCUAACACAUGCAAGUCGAACGGCAGCACAGUAAGAGCUUGCUCUUACGGGUGGCGAGUGGCGGACGGGUGAGGAAUACAUCGGAAUCUACUUUUUCGUGGGGGAUAACGUAGGGAAACUUACGCUAAUACCGCAUACGACCUACGGGUGAAAGCAGGGGAUCUUCGGACCUUGCGCGAUUGAAUGAGCCGAUGUCGGAUUAGCUAGUUGGCGGGGUAAAGGCCCACCAAGGCGACGAUCCGUAGCUGGUCUGAGAGGAUGAUCAGCGACACUGGAACUGAGACACGGUCAAGACUCCUACGGGAGGCAGCAGUGGGGAAUAUUGGACAAUGGGCGCAAGCCUGAUCCAGCCAUACCGAGUGGGUGAAGAAGGCCUUCGGGUUGUAAAGCCCUUUUGUUGGGAAAGAAAAGCAGCAGGUUAAUACCCCGCUGUUCUGACGGUACCCAAAGAAUAAGCACCGGCUAACUUCGUG